GACGAACGCUGGCGGCGUGCUUAACACAUGCGAGUCGAACGGAAAGGCCCUGCUUUUGUGGGGUGCUCGAGUGGCGAACGGGUGAGUAACACGUGAGUAACCUGCCCUUGACUUUGGGAUAACUUCAGGAAACUGGGGCUAAUACCGGAUAGGAGCUCCUGCUGCAUGGUGGGGGUUGGAAAGUUUCGGCGGUUGGGGAUGGACUCGCGGCUUAUCAGCUUGUUGGUGGGGUAGUGGCUUACCAAGGCUUUGACGGGUAGCCGGCCUGAGAGGGUGACCGGCGAAAUUGGGACUGAGGUAAGGCCCAGACUCCUACGGGGGGAAGCGGUGGGGAAUAUUGCACAAUAGGCGGAAGUCUGAUGCAGCAACGCCGCGUGCGGGAUGACGGCCUUCGGGUUGUAAACCGCUUUCGCCUGUGACGAAGCGUGAGUGACGGUAAUGGGUAAAGAAGCACCGGCUAACUACGUG
This 468-nucleotide ribosomal RNA is filed under the name uncultured bacterium. Its description in RNAcentral is "partial 16S ribosomal RNA". It matches the Rfam family "Bacterial small subunit ribosomal RNA", at positions 28 to 507 of the family's 1533-position model. The record is from RNAcentral.